This 512-nucleotide ribosomal RNA is filed under the name Pseudoalteromonas atlantica. RNAcentral's name for it is "bacterial SSU rRNA". It matches the Rfam family "Bacterial small subunit ribosomal RNA", at positions 371 to 876 of the family's 1533-position model. The record is from RNAcentral. Lineage: Bacteria; Pseudomonadati; Pseudomonadota; Gammaproteobacteria; Alteromonadales; Pseudoalteromonadaceae.
AUGGGCGCAAGCCUGAUGCAGCCAUGCCGCGUGUGUGAAGAAGGCCUUCGGGUUGUAAAGCACUUUCAGUCAGGAGGAAAGGUUAGUAGUUAAUACCUGCUAGCUGUGACGUUACUGACAGAAGAAGCACCGGCUAACUCCGUGCCAGCAGCCGCGGUAAUACGGAGGGUGCGAGCGUUAAUCGGAAUUACUGGGCGUAAAGCGUACGCAGGCGGUUUGUUAAGCGAGAUGUGAAAGCCCCGGGCUCAACCUGGGAACUGCAUUUCGAACUGGCAAACUAGAGUGUGAUAGAGGGUGGUAGAAUUUCAGGUGUAGCGGUGAAAUGCGUAGAGAUCUGAAGGAAUACCGAUGGCGAAGGCAGCCACCUGGGUCAACACUGACGCUCAUGUACGAAAGCGUGGGGAGCAAACAGGAUUAGAUACCCUGGUAGUCCACGCCGUAAACGAUGUCUACUAGAAGCUCGGAGCCUCGGCUCUGUUUUUCAAAGCUAACGCAUUAAGUAGACCGCCUGG